RNAcentral lists this ribosomal RNA (714 nucleotides) under Nitratireductor aquibiodomus. RNAcentral describes it as "bacterial SSU rRNA". It matches the Rfam family "Bacterial small subunit ribosomal RNA", at positions 56 to 818 of the family's 1533-position model. The record is from RNAcentral. Lineage: Bacteria; Pseudomonadati; Pseudomonadota; Alphaproteobacteria; Hyphomicrobiales; Phyllobacteriaceae.
UGCAAGUCGAGCGCCCCUUCGGGGGAGCGGCAGACGGGUGAGUAAUGCAUGGGAAUCUACCCAGCUCUACGGAAUAACUCAGGGAAACUUGAACUAAUACCGUAUGCGCCCUUCGGGGGAAAGAUUUAUCGGAGUUGGAUGAGCCCAUGUCUGAUUAGCUAGUUGGUGGGGUAAAGGCCUACCAAGGCGACGAUCAGUAGCUGGUCUGAGAGGAUGAUCAGCCACACUGGGACUGAGACACGGCCCAGACUCCUACGGGAGGCAGCAGUGGGGAAUAUUGGACAAUGGGGGCAACCCUGAUCCAGCCAUGCCGCGUGAGUGAUGAAGGCCCUAGGGUUGUAAAGCUCUUUCACCGGUGAAGAUAAUGACGGUAACCGGAGAAGAAGCCCCGGCUAACUUCGUGCCAGCAGCCGCGGUAAUACGAAGGGGGCUAGCGUUGUUCGGAAUUACUGGGCGUAAAGCGCGCGUAGGCGGAUCGGUCAGUUAGGGGUGAAAUCCCGGGGCUCAACCCCGGAACUGCCUCUAAUACUGCCGAUCUAGAGUUCGAGAGAGGUGAGUGGAAUUCCGAGUGUAGAGGUGAAAUUCGUAGAUAUUCGGAGGAAGACCAGUGGCGAAGGCGGCUCAGUGGCUCGAUACUGACGCUGAUGUGCGAAAGCGUGGGGAGCAAACAGGAGUAGAUACCCUGGUAGUCCACGCCGUACACGAUGGAAGCUA